This 492-nucleotide ribosomal RNA is filed under the name uncultured bacterium. RNAcentral describes it as "partial 16S ribosomal RNA". It matches the Rfam family "Bacterial small subunit ribosomal RNA", at positions 29 to 507 of the family's 1533-position model. The record is from RNAcentral.
AGUGAACGCUGGCGGUAGGCCUAACACAUGCAAGUCGAACGGCAGCACAGUAAGAGCUUGCUCUUACGGUUGGCGAGUGGCGGACGGGUGAGGCAUACAUCGGAAUCUACUUUUUCGUGGGGGAUAACGUAGGGAAACUUACGCUAAUACCGCAUACGACCUACGGGUUAAAGCAGUGGAUCUUCGGACCUUGCGCGAUUGAAUUAGCCGAUGUCGGAUUAGCUAGUUGGCUAGGUAAAGGCCCACCAAGGCGACGAUCCGUAGCUGGUCUGAGAGGAUGAUCGGCCACACUGGAACUGAGACACGGUCCAGACUCCUACGGGAGGCAGCAGUAGGGAAUAUUCGACAAUGGGCGAAAGCCUGAUCCAGCAAUACCGCGUGAGUGAAGAAGGCCUUCGGGUUGUAAAGCCCUUUUGUUGGGGAAGAAAAGAAGCAGGUUAAUACCCGGCUGUUCUGACGGUACCCAAAGAAUAAGCACCGGCUAACUUCGUG